This is a non-coding RNA of Pelobates cultripes (western spadefoot toad), 275 nucleotides long. The record is from the annotation of a GenBank genome assembly. Lineage: Eukaryota; Metazoa; Chordata; Amphibia; Anura; Pelobatidae.
GAUCACGCAGACAUCACUAUCACACUAGGAAAACUCCUCUUUACCACCACAUGAUCCUGGAAGCUUAAUACUAGCCUCCUGAAUGAUGACAAUAUUAGAGACUCUACCAAAACCGCCAUACUAGAAUAUUUUACCAACAAUACCACUCCUGACGUGGACCCAAACAUGACAUGGGCAGCCCAUAAGACGGUCAUUCGAGGACACCUCAUUAGGGCAACCACAUGUAAAUAGCAGACAAAGAUUAGAUUACUAGCAGACUUACAAUCUGACCUUCG